This 433-nucleotide ribosomal RNA is filed under the name uncultured bacterium. RNAcentral describes it as "partial 16S ribosomal RNA". It matches the Rfam family "Bacterial small subunit ribosomal RNA", at positions 29 to 507 of the family's 1533-position model. The record is from RNAcentral.
AGCGAACGCUGGCGGCAGGCCUAACACAUGCGAGUCGAACGAACUCUUCGGAGUUAGUGGCGGACGGGUGAGUAACACGUGGGAGCGUGCCUUUAGGUUCGGAAUAACUCAGGGAAACUUGUGCUAAUACCGAAUGUGCCCUUCGGGGGAAAGAUUUAUCGCCUUUAGAGCGGCCCGCGUCUGAUUAGCUAGUUGGUGAGGUAAAGGCUCACCAAGGCGACGAUCAGUAGCUGGUCUGAGAGGAUGAUCAGCCACAUUGGGACUGAGACACGGCCCAAACUCCUACGGGAGGCAGCAGUGGGGAAUCUUGCGCAAUGGGCGAAAGCCUGACGCAGCCAUGCCGCGUGAAUGAUGAAGGUCUUAGGAUUGUAAAAUUCUUUCACCGGGGACGAUAAUGACGGUACCCGGAGAAGAAGCCCCGGCUAACUUCGUG